GUUCAAGAGUACGUGAAACCGUUCAGGGGUAAACCUGAGAAACCCAAAAGAUCGAAUAGGGAGAUUCAUCGUCAGCAUGUCUCGUAUAUGUAUGAGUUAUGAUGCGAGUUACUUUUGUAUUGCUUGCACAUUCUUGUAUAUUUAAUUGCGGGAUAUGUCGGCGUGCACUUCUCCCUUAGUAGAACGUCGCAACCCGUUGAGUGUUGGUCUAUGACCCGAGUGAGAGUCUUCAGCGUUUUUAACAUUGAAGAUCCUUGGUGUUCUGAUUAACUGUUCGACGGUACUCGUAUGGUAUUAAGUCGCAUAUUUUAUGCGUCCAUGUCUGUCACAAGUGAGGUUAAUUUCUGGCAGUACGGACCUAGUGCCGUCGUUGGAUUUAACCAGCUGUUGGUUGACGGUAUUCUAGGACUGACUUAUUCCGGGUGGGGAUUCCUCCGGUUUGGGUACUUUCCAGACCCCUUUUGAAACCCGGACCAAGGAGUCUAACAUGUGCCCCAAUCAUUGGGAUUAUUUAAAAUAAACCUAAAGGCCCAAUGAAAGUAAAGGUU
This 548-nucleotide ribosomal RNA is filed under the name Spathius aff. elymus 5 AZR-2017. Its description in RNAcentral is "eukaryotic LSU rRNA". The record is from RNAcentral. Lineage: Eukaryota; Metazoa; Arthropoda; Insecta; Hymenoptera; Braconidae.